Molecule: ribosomal RNA, 495 nt
Filed under: uncultured bacterium
Lineage: Bacteria
Description: partial 16S ribosomal RNA
Rfam family: Bacterial small subunit ribosomal RNA
Source: RNAcentral
GACGAACGCUGGCGGCGUGCCUAAUACAUGCAAGUAGAACGCUGAAGGAGGAGCUUGCUUCUCCGGAUGAGUUGCGAACGGGUGAGUAACGCGUAGGUAACCUGCCUGGUAGCGGGGGAUAACUAUUGGAAACGAUAGCUAAUACCGCAUAACAGUAGAUAUCGCAUGAUAUCUGCUUGAAAGGUGCAAUUGCAUCACUACCAGAUGGACCUGCGUUGUAUUAGCUAGUUGGUGAGGGAACGGCUCACCAAGGCGACGAUACAUAGCCGACCUGAGAGGGGGAUCGGCCACACUGGGACUGAGACACGGCCCAGACUCCUACGGGAGGCAGCAGUAGGGAAUCUUCGGCAAUGGACGGAAGUCUGACCGAGCAACGCCGCGUGAGUGAAGAAGGUUUUCGGAUCGUAAAGCUCUGUUGUAAGAGAAGAACGAGUGUGAGAGUGGAAAGUUCACACUGUGACGGUAUCUUAACAGAAAGGGACGGCUAACUACGUG